GAAAUGCGAUAAGUAGUGUGAAUUGCAGAAUUCAGUGAAUCAUCGAAUCUUUGAACGCACAUUGCGCCCCUUGGUAUUCCAUGGGGCAUGCCUGUUCGAGCGUCAUUUGUACCCUCAAGCUCUGCUUGGUGUUGGGUGUUUGUCCCGACUCCGCGCGUGGACUCGCCCCAAAGUGAUUGGCAGCCGGCGUACUGGUCCCGGAGCGCAGCACAUGUCGCGCAAACGAGUGCCUUGGUACGGCGGCGUCCAUAAGCCCCUCUCUCACGCUCUUGACCUCGGAUCAGGUAGGGAUACCCGUUGAACUUAAGC
RNAcentral lists this unclassified non-coding RNA (309 nucleotides) under plant metagenome. RNAcentral's name for it is "partial contains 5.8S ribosomal RNA, internal transcribed spacer 2, and large subunit ribosomal RNA". The stretch from base 1 to 105 matches the Rfam family "5.8S ribosomal RNA", at positions 50 to 154 of the family's 154-position model. The record is from RNAcentral.